This 330-nucleotide long non-coding RNA is filed under the name Homo sapiens (human). RNAcentral describes it as "HSALNT0379667". The record is from RNAcentral. Lineage: Eukaryota; Metazoa; Chordata; Mammalia; Primates; Hominidae.
GCCCACUGGCUUGCCUCACUGUGGUUGGUGGUGGCGGUGACAGAGACUGCAGCAUGACCAGAGUGGCUUUUCUGGCUUUGCCCGCCCAGCUGCUCCAUGCCAGGAGGAGGAGGAGACACCUAGAGCCUGCAACACCACGGCUCGCCUCGCUACAGGUGGGUGGCAGUGACGGAGACUGCAGUGCACCAGAGCGGGAGAUGACUCAUCAGAAAAAGAAGAAAAAAGAGGUAUUUGGAAAUUGUGCAAAUUAAAGCAGCCCCUGAUGCCAAAGUCUACACAUUCCUGAGUGAGUCAGUUCUGGCCAGUUCUAGCUGGAUCAAGAGAGCUCUG